Molecule: long non-coding RNA, 6168 nt
Filed under: Bemisia tabaci
Lineage: Eukaryota; Metazoa; Arthropoda; Insecta; Hemiptera; Aleyrodidae
Description: lncRNA ENSASIAIIG004582
Source: RNAcentral
AUCUAGACGUUCACACUAACAUAUUUUAUAAAAAAAAAACAAAAAAAGGUUCAUCUUUGACCUCAUCAGAAACGAGCGCAAAACUCAGGAGCAGUCACAACGACGUCCCUAGUGGACGCGGAGCGACCACAUGCAACGACACUAUUAUUUAUACUCAUAAAUUUGACUGUGGGGGUGCCGGCAUCGAUGAACCCGGGGAGGGGGGGGGCUCUGUGGGAAGAGGAAGACGCGAGGAUGUGUGAGCGGUGGCGGCAAGUUCUCGACUUCCGAAACAGCGCGGGCUUCAGUUAUCUCUCGCGACUCGGUGCGCUGCGAUGGGUGCGCGUGUGUGAGCUGUGCUGUGUUGUGUUUCCGCUGCAUCUGGAUUUUUGGAUUUUUUUUGGAUUCGUGUUGGAUUUCGGAUUCCGGCGCCGCUAUGGCCUCCCCAGCGCCCCCCUCGGAGCAGCUCCUUGAUGAUGUUCGUCGAUUUUUACGAGUGACGCUGAAUCAAGAGUUAUUAUCUCCAACUUCCGAGAAACAAAGGCAAGACCUUCUCCAGAGGCUGUCAACCAGAGAACAAUCACCCGGCUCCUACCUGGACAUGAACUGUUGUAAAAAAAGUUACAACGCGGACAUCAGCCGGGACUUCCAGGAGUUCUACGAGGCGUUCGAGCCGGACGACCUGAAGAGCGCGCGGCGGAGGUCGGACAUCUCCUUCCUCAAGUCGAGCGAGCUCCACAACGAGCUGAACAUAAACAAAGACAACUACGUCACCAAGAACGUCCACCGCAAGAGCCUCAACUCGGUCCUCAGCUCGGAGCUCAUUCUCGGCUCGGAGCGGCUCCAGGACCGGAAGCCGAGCUCCACCAGCUCCACGACCGGCACCAACAUGAACGGGAUCAACGGGAUCAACGGGACCAACGGCCCCAACUCGGUGGCCAGCUCCGUCAAAUCCGAUAGCUUGUCCAGCUCCACGUCGACGAUCCCACAGGAAUCCGAUGGCGAGCGAGGCGCCAACUCGAGCGAGGUGCUGUCGAUCUCGGCGUCGGCGCUGAAGUACUCGGCGAUCAAGCACGGGGUCCUGGCCCGGAAAGAGCGGGUGCUGAAGGCGUUCGAGAAGGUGCGCAAGUACUGGGUGGGCGUCCUCGGGCACUCGCUCUACAUCUACACCAGCGAGAAGGACCUCCGCCCAACCACCGUCAUCGACAUCCUCGGAUACUCGGCCCGGCCCGUCUCCGUCAAGGACCCUCCCAACUCCAGCCCCAAGAAGGACUACACUUUCGAGAUCGUCUGCCCCGGCAAAAAGACCUACCAGUUCAUAGCAAGUAAUUGGUCCGAGAUGGAGACGUGGAUCCUGAUAAUAUCUCAAGCAGGGAACCAACCAACGCCUCUUCCUAGUCCAACGGUAGCUCCCAGUUCCAACGGCUGCUUCCUCAACGAGAGAUCGUUACCUGCCACCCCCGUCAGUCAGUUCGGCCCCGAACAAAUCUACGACGAACCCGAUUCCAAAGUCAGACCCGUCGAGAAGUACCCACUCAACAAUCACGUCAGUCCUGUACAGUGGCAACAGUACGAAUUCAUGAGUGACGACUCUUUCUACCACUACAUCGACGACACUAUGAAGGAGAAUUUGAAGAAUAUGAAGAACUCUUGCUUGUGUAGUCAGAAUGAAAACUAUUACAACAAUGUAGGAGAAGGAGUAAGGCAUUGCAUGCAGUGUGAUAAUAGGAGUAACAUGUACUACAACAUGCUAGACCCACCCGACAGUGGACGGAAAGAGAACCACCUUUUUAGCUGUAGUAGUCUUCCAAGCAUUCCCACGGAACAGGAGGCAAUUUAUGACAUCAUAUUAGAUGGUCAAAAGCAGCAGAUCAACGGGAUAACCGACCGGGACAAACUGCUCAACGAGAUCCUGAACCGGUCCAAAGAAGAGCCAACCUCGAAAACAAAACCGGACGAACCAACGCACGAAAGAACCGACUCGACGAGAUCCAGCGACGGCAACGAGUCCGACCGAUCGUCGAAGGAGAACGCCGACUUCAACGUCCAAAAAUCCGGUCUCCUCUUCGUGAACCAGUACGGCCCGAACCGGAUCCAGGACAUCAUCAACCGGAUCGAGACGACCUACAACAACAAGCGGGAGCCGACGUCGCCGUGCAAACGGGAGCCGGCGCCCGCCAACAAACGCUUCGCCAAAUCCAGUUGCACGACGACGCUCCCCAAACGCACGACUCUGUGCCGGAGCCUGGAUUUCAAGUCGAACGAAUCGAUUUUCGGAUCUCAGAGGAGCUCGGUCGUCCAGGACCAGCUCUACGAACCGGUUCAAACCUCGUCCAGCGCGUGUCCGUCGUAGAACCGGUUCGUUGCGAGGGAACGAAUUUUGUUGUUGUGGGUCGCCCGCCGAAACGGGUGACUCUACGAACCAGUUCGAACUUUCUGCAACGUGUUCCAGUCGUAGAACCGAAUUUUUGCAUGGGAGCGAUUUUUGUUGUUGUGGGUCGUCCGCCGAAACGGAUGACUCUACGAACCGGUUCUAACUUCCUCCAACAUGUGCCAGUCGCAAAACCGGCUAUUCGCAGGGGGAAUGAUUUUGCUGUCCCGUCCUUAACUGACCGUAUGUUGAAGGGAUUCCUAGGCUACAGGCCGUUCUUGAACGGAAAUAGGCUAAUUUAUGGCUCGGCAAAAAGGCCGCCAUGGAAAAACGGUUGUCACCGGUGUUUUUGACUUGUGAGAAUUCGUUGCACUGAGAUCACAGACUGCGCCUCCUUGAAGAUCGCAAAACCCUCGGGAUGUGAAGAGGGGAUCAAUGUAUUUUGUGAUUUGUAGUACCCCAUGCAAGUACCAGGGGAAGCAUUGCCUCGAAUUUCACUCCGAAAUUGACAGUUACUGAAACAUCAAGAAAUCUUUUUCAUCAGGCGUCCCCUGAAAAAUUGUGAUACUACAGUUUCGUAGUUUGAAUUGUUAUUUUUAGUACAGCACUUUUCCCGACCAAUAACUUUUGUGUUGCGAGGGUGUUCGGAUUUUUACAUUCUUUAGUGAUGAAAGAACUGAAACUAAGAUCACGAACACAGCUGGUAACGCAUUGGUUGCGCAGUCAAGUCACAAUUUAAACUGCAUUACUAAAUUAUAACACCAGUGUGUUCAAUCAUUUUACUUUAUGAUUGGGACCAGUGGCGAGGCGAGAAUGAUUGACCAUCGAUAUUUCCCCAUUUGAAAUUAUGGAGAAGAAUCGAUGAUUCAGGUGUUCGUUGUGAACACCCUGUAUAUCGAUCCUUUUCUACAAGUUUAAAUGACACAUUAAUCGAUUUAUCGCAAAGUACGCCACGCCAUUAAAUUGGGACUCUUUUUCAUGUGCACCUGUUUUUCGGUGACAACGAAUUUCAAUAUUUUCAGAAGGAAUAAGAGAGAAAGUCAGAUUUUUGAGAAUUAGGUAAACAUACGAGGAAAUUCAGUAAUUAUUUAUUCUAUAGCAAGACAAAGUGCGAUGAGGCGAUCGUUAAAGUAACAAGACUGAACUUUUAAUUUAAAUGUGUUUUUUUACCCGUAAAUCAUAAAUUGCAUUAUAUGAGAUCCGAACAGUUAACAACUAGACUUCAACUGAGAAAAUACUGUGACUAAGUGAAUCAAAAUUAGGUACCGCACGGAUGAAAAGGAAUGUAUAUGAUUACUAGAUUCGUGAUAAUAUAUGAUCCUUAGAAAAUUCAAUAGCCAGUACAAGAUUUUUGUGAGUGUAAAUCAUCCUCAUACUUACAUAAACCAGUCUUGAGACAAUCACUGUUAGAAACUGGUCACUAGAUUCCUGAAUGUGGAUGAUUCUUAGAAAUUGUUCACAUUAUUUUUCAUCCGUGCACUGCAGUUUUAACGAGAAUGCUCUUUAAAAAUCAAUUGGUUUAUAAAUAAUGAUUGUUAAUAGUUUUCAUAUAAGUACCGUUGUAUGUAAUUUUUUAUGUAAGUUUUUUUGUAGAUAAUUGUUGAUCUUAAAAUACAGCUUUUAUUACAAGCUAUCGUCUUGGAUCCCCAGCAUUAAUUUAUCCUGUCCAAAGUAUUAUUAUGAGAAAAUAGUUUUUGAUCGUUGGGAAAAAUAUUGGAUAGUCUCUAAUGAGCAAAACUCCAUUGAUUUAAAUAAAUUGCGUAGAAUAUAGAAUUAAGAAUAUGCGAACAAUGUAGAAUGGUUUAGAAUGUCCUGAUUUUACCAUGGAUAUAUUUUAAAGCAAAACCACGAAAACCGUAAGGUGGCUCUAAAUCCUAAUUAAUUUUUAACAAUGCAUCAAGAAUGAUAUCUGAAGUAUCCAGCCGUGGAUGGGUCGAUUUUUUCACAAGAAAAUAAUCACCUUAAAAUUAGAUUGACUAGAGAAGAAUAAGUAGUUUGCGCUGUCAUAUUUUCAUUUUAUUAUUUUUUAUUUAUUUAUUUUAAACCUAGUGCCUCGGCAAGACCGCUUAAUGAGCGGAGGAGAUGCGAACUUGGGCCUCCAAUACCACAGACAUCAGGAUAUAGAUUACGUGCAACAAGCGGGUCAAAGAGGCACAAACUGUUUAAAAACCGCAUUUGAAUCAUACGCAAAUUCAAUAAAAUUCCUUUUGAAAACUUACGUCAAAAAAGAUUUUAUUGCACAGGCAUUAGGCGUUAUACAACUAAGGAUGAGGAUGUUUGUGAAAAAAUCAUGUGAAGAAAUCUGGAGGGAAAUAUUGCAUCAUUCCGCCGCAAAAUUUGUUUGGAACUUGUCCAAAUGCACGGUUUUGAACGCUUGUAGUUUAUUCAUACAAAUAUGGCCACCUCCAUUUAACACCGCAAACAAAAUUAAAUUCCCGUAUACGUCCGAAUAGUUGAUCAAAAGAAUGACCAAGAUUCGGAUGAGUGAUAUUUAACGAUUUAUCCUUGUUAGGUGCAUACCACUAUACUUGCUCGGAGGUGCUCGUUUUGCCUAUAUUGCCUUUUGAAGGAGAAUCUAUGCUAGAUGAAUGCAUCGUAUCCUUAAUUAGGAAUUGAGAAUGUAGCACUGCCUCUCAGUAAUUGAACACAUUUGCCAUAGAGUAUCCAUCAUGGAGCACAUGGAAUUCACUGGGACUCAAAGCUCUAUUUGUGAAAUAUUAGCAGUACUGCUUCCAAAAACUGAUUAUAUGACAAGGAAGUUCUUUUAUGUACAAUGACCAAAACAAUAAUUAAGUUGAGAGCCACGAUUAUCAUAAACUUCAUAAAUGCCGGUUCUAAACGCAUUUUUUGCUUGAAUAGCUUGGGGUGAUAGAUGUUCUUUUAAUGUUCUCACAGUUUUUGAGAAUGGUUGUAAUUUUCGAUCGAAUGUUAUUAAAACAAUGGAGGACUGAAUGGAGAACUUCCCCACCAAAACCGAACUUGAUUUACGUCCAGUCAUACAUUAAAGCUUUUCACUUCCAUACCUCGAGAUUUGUGAUGAAUGAGGAUUACAUCCCCUGUUUUUUUUUCAAGCAAACUCUUUAAAAAAACUAAUCUUUGCAGCUUAUAGACUACCAUCCUCGGAACAAUGUUCUUAUCCAAAGAGGGUAAAAGUCUUUCACAAAAAAUGUACACUUCUUCAAUUAUUUGAGCCUGUUAUGAAUAUUUUAAAUGCCGGAAGACUCUUAGAAAAAAAGACAAAAAGAAAAGAGGGAAAAGUAGGUGAAUCUGAAGGAAUCUGAAACAAGGUUUUGUUUCAGAGGAGUGUUUCCCAAAAAUCGACGGAAAAACUUAACUAUUCAUUUUCAAAACUUGCCUUCUAGAAAUUUUGAAAUAUUGCUCAUUACUUUCAUUCGCCGGAGGCCCAAAUAAUUAAGAUCCGUGUUUUACUUGUUUACAAAGGUUUUCUAUACAUUUGACGUAUUCUGUGCACAUUGCUGAUUAUAAAUAUACUCACGUUUUCGUCCCGAUUACCUCUUGUUAUCUCCAAAAUAAUUGUCAGCUAUGCAGUCUGAAUGUUUUUGCAUCAUCUUUCAGCCUUUUUCCUGAUCGCAUAGCCACAAUAUCGCGGAACCGACCCACUAGUGAUAACUCUCUCGUCAAAUACAUGUAUUUUCUGAUUGGAAUGUGAUUAUUUGGUGAAUUUUAGUUAUUUUUCAAUGCGUGGCUUUAUUAAAAUCAGAGAUGAGACCGUGGUCUAGGAUAAAAGAGGGCCCGAAAAUGACUUGAGAAAAUUCUAGUGCAACCCUUAAAAUCCAGGCGAUAACUAUGGCGAAAAC